GACGAACGCUGGCGGCGUGCUUAACACAUGCAAGUCGAACGGAAAGGCCCUGCUUUUGUGGGGUGCUCGAGUGGCGAACGGGUGAGUAACACGUGAGUAACCUGCCCUUGACUUUGGGAUAACUUCAGGAAACUGGGGCUAAUACCGGAUAGGAGCUCCUGCUGCAUGGUGGGGGUUGGAAAGUUUCGGCGGUUGGGGAUGGACUCGCGGCUUAUCAGCUUGUUGGUGGGGUAGUGGCUUACCAAGGCUUUGACGGGUAGCCGGCCUGAGAGGGUGACCGGCCCAAUGGGGUCUGGGGUACGGCCAAGACCCCUCGGGGGGGAAGGGGGGGGGAUGUUUGCACAAGGGGCGGAGGCCUGGUGCAGCAACCCCGGGGGGGGGAGGGGGGCCUUGGGGUUGGAAACCGUUUUCGCCUGUGACGAAGCGGGGGGGACGGUAAUGGGAAAAAAAGCCCCGGCAAACUCGGU
RNAcentral lists this ribosomal RNA (467 nucleotides) under uncultured bacterium. Its description in RNAcentral is "partial 16S ribosomal RNA". It matches the Rfam family "Bacterial small subunit ribosomal RNA", at positions 28 to 506 of the family's 1533-position model. The record is from RNAcentral.